UACGUAGGGUGCUAGCGUUAUCCGGAUUUACUGGGCGUAAAGGGUGCGUAGGUGGUCUUUCAAGUCGGUGGUUAAAGGCUACGGCUCAACCGUAUUAAGCCGCCGAAACUGGAAGACUUGAGUGCAGGAGAGGAAAGUGGAAUUCUCAGUGUAGCGGUGAAAUGCGUAGAUAUUGAGAAGAACACCAGUAGCGAAGGCAGCUCACUGGGGUAUAACUGACGCUGAUGCACGAAGGUGUGGGUAUCAAACAGG
RNAcentral lists this ribosomal RNA (252 nucleotides) under uncultured bacterium. Its description in RNAcentral is "partial 16S ribosomal RNA". It matches the Rfam family "Bacterial small subunit ribosomal RNA", at positions 524 to 776 of the family's 1533-position model. The record is from RNAcentral.